AGCCAUGAUGAGUUAAUUUGCGCCUGAUAGCGAGGUCGGUGACAAAUGCCUAUUGUCAAACAAACCACCUUGCCUAUGUGACGACAAAAUUCUCUGAGCA
Patiria miniata (bat star) is the source of this 100-nucleotide small nucleolar RNA. RefSeq annotates it as small nucleolar RNA SNORD16. The transcript has a single exon. NCBI's taxonomy places the organism in Eukaryota, Metazoa, Echinodermata, Asteroidea, Valvatida, Asterinidae. The record is from RefSeq and is a predicted model, not a curated record.